RNAcentral lists this ribosomal RNA (519 nucleotides) under Phomopsis sp. ER 1646. RNAcentral describes it as "eukaryotic LSU rRNA". It matches the Rfam family "Eukaryotic large subunit ribosomal RNA", at positions 69 to 600 of the family's 3401-position model. The record is from RNAcentral. Lineage: Eukaryota; Fungi; Ascomycota; Sordariomycetes; Diaporthales; Diaporthaceae.
CAGGGAUUGCCCUAGUAACGGCGAGUGAAGCGGCAACAGCUCAAAUUUGAAAUCUGGCCUCGGCCCGAGUUGUAAUUUGCAGAGGAUGCUUCUGGCGCGGUGCCUUCCGAGUUCCCUGGAACGGGACGCCACAGAGGGUGAGAGCCCCGUAUGGUCGGACACCAAGCCUGUGUGAAGCUCCUUCGACGAGUCGAGUAGUUUGGGAAUGCUGCUCUAAAUGGGAGGUAAAUCUCUUCUAAAGCUAAAUACCGGCCAGAGACCGAUAGCGCACAAGUAGAGUGAUCGAAAGAUGAAAAGCACCUUGAAAAGGGGGUUAAAUAGUACGUGAAAUUGUUGAAAGGGAAGCACUUAUGACCAGACUUGGGCCGGGCGGCUCAUCAGGGGUUCUCCCCUGUGCACUCCGCCCGGCACAGGCCAGCAUCGGUUCUCGUGGGGGGAUAAGACCGUCAGGAACGUAGCACCCUCCGGGGUGUGUUAUAGCCUGGCGGACGAUACCCCCGUGGGGACCGAGGUCCGCGC